CAGCAGCCGCGGUAAUACGGGGGGUGCAAGCGUUACUCGGAAUCACUGGGCGUAAAGAGCAUGUAGGCGGAUUAAUAAGUUUGAAGUGAAAUCCUAUAGCUUAACUAUAGAACUGCUUUGAAAACUGUUAAUCUAGAAUGUGGGAGAGGUAGAUGGAAUUUCUGGUGUAGGGGUAAAAUCCGUAGAGAUCAGAAGGAAUACCGAUUGCGAAGGCGAUCUACUGGAACAUUAUUGACGCUGAGAUGCGAAAGCGUGGGGAGCAAACAGGAUUAGAUACCCUGGUAGUCCACGCCCUAAACGAUGUACACUAGUUGUUGUGAGACUUGAUCUUGCAGUAAUGCAGUUAACACAUUAAGUGUACCGCCUGGGGAGUACGGUCGCAAGAUUAAAACUCAAAGGAAUAGACGGGGACCCGCACAAGCGGUGGAGCAUGUGGUUUAAUUCGACGAUACACGAAGAACCUUACCUGGACUUGACAUAGUAAGAACUUUCUAGAGAUAGAUUGGUGUCUGCUUGCAGAAACUUAUAUACAGGUGCUGCACGGCUGUCGUCAGCUCGUGUCGUGAGAUGUUGGGUUAAGUCCCGCAACGAGCGCAACCCUCGUGUUUAGUUGCUAACAGUUCGGCUGAGAACUCUAAACAGACUGCCUACGCAAGUAGGAGGAAGGUGAGGACGACGUCAAGUCAUCAUGGCCCUUACGUCCAGGGCUACACACGUGCUACAAUGGGAUAUACAAAGAGCGGCAAUACGGUGACGUGGAGCAAAUCUUAUAAAAUAUCUCCCAGUUCGGAUUGUAGUCUGCAACUCGACUACAUGAAGUUGGAAUCGCUAGUAAUCGUAGAUCAGCUAUGCUACGGUGAAUACGUUCCCGGGUCUUGUACUCACCGCCCGUCACACCAUGGGAGUCGAACUCAUUCGAAGCGGGGAUGCUAAAAUAGCUACCUUCCACAGUGGAUUUGGCGACUGGGGUGAAGUCGUAACAAGGUAGCCGU
RNAcentral lists this ribosomal RNA (992 nucleotides) under uncultured Arcobacter sp. RNAcentral's name for it is "bacterial SSU rRNA". It matches the Rfam family "Bacterial small subunit ribosomal RNA", at positions 509 to 1503 of the family's 1533-position model. The record is from RNAcentral. Lineage: Bacteria; Pseudomonadati; Campylobacterota; Epsilonproteobacteria; Campylobacterales; Arcobacteraceae.